UUGAGUACAAGGCUAAAGGAAAUCAACACAGAAUAAUCCACUACAUGCUCAUUGUUUUUUAUCACAUGACUCUGUAAAAGAAGGUGCUUCUCAGCCUGAGAAAACAUCACUGCGCGAGAAGGCAAGAUGGUUCGCAGGGUCAAUGUACCUUCUACCAAGGCUGAUGACCUGCGUCCUGCUGCAGAACUCAUAUGGUGCAGGCAGAGGACAGAUGACUGCAAGCUGUCCUCUCACCACUGUGCAUAAAUUGUGGGGACUGUGCACCCACACACGUGCACAAACACAUAACUAAUACAACUUUUAAAGGAA
Long non-coding RNA from Peromyscus eremicus (cactus mouse), 309 nucleotides. RefSeq lists it as uncharacterized. The record is from RefSeq and is a predicted model, not a curated record. The transcript is spliced from 2 exons. NCBI's taxonomy places the organism in Eukaryota, Metazoa, Chordata, Mammalia, Rodentia, Cricetidae.